ACGAAUGUGGCGGAAUGGUAGACGCGGGAGCUUCAAAAGCUCUUGUUCAUUAGAACAUACGGGUUCAAAUCCCGUCAAUCGUA
Molecule: transfer RNA, 83 nt
Filed under: Pediastrum duplex
Lineage: Eukaryota; Viridiplantae; Chlorophyta; Chlorophyceae; Sphaeropleales; Hydrodictyaceae
Description: tRNA-Leu
Rfam family: tRNA
About the family: Transfer RNA (tRNA) molecules are approximately 80 nucleotides in length. Their secondary structure includes four short double-helical elements and three loops (D, anti-codon, and T loops). Further hydrogen bonds mediate the characteristic L-shaped molecular structure. tRNAs have two regions of fundamental functional importance: the anti-codon, which is responsible for specific mRNA codon recognition, and the 3' end, to which the tRNAs corresponding amino acid is attached (by aminoacyl-tRNA synthetases). tRNAs cope with the degeneracy of the genetic code in two manners: having more than one tRNA (with a specific anti-codon) for a particular amino acid; and 'wobble' base-pairing, i.e. permitting non-standard base-pairing at the 3rd anti-codon position.
Source: RNAcentral